This 343-nucleotide small nuclear RNA is filed under the name Microtus ochrogaster (prairie vole). RNAcentral describes it as "7SK RNA (ENSMOCG00000010085.1)". It matches the Rfam family "7SK RNA", at positions 1 to 277 of the family's 331-position model. Rfam says of the family: 7SK was discovered as an abundant small nuclear RNA in the mid-70s but a possible function has only recently been suggested. The record is from RNAcentral. Lineage: Eukaryota; Metazoa; Chordata; Mammalia; Rodentia; Cricetidae.
AGAUGUUGGGGUGAUCUGGCUGUAACAUCUGUCACCCUAUUGAUCGCCAGGGUUGAUUUGGCUUAUCUGGCUGGCUAGGCGGUUGUCCCCUUCCUCCCUCUCCACUCCAUGUGUGUCCCUCCUUAAGUUGUGUGCUCGAUUGAAGAGGACGCCCUUCCUCAAAUAGAGGAGGACCGGUCUUAGGUCAAGGGUAUACGAGUAGCUGCACUCCCCUACUAGAACCUCCAAACAAGCUCUCAAGGCCCAUUACUGUCUUUCUUAUGAAUCCAUAUGUGAAUUUUUUAGAGGCUGGAUUUUCUGAUAUAGUAACAUACUUUUAAGGCCCUAGGAAAGUGUAGUACUU